Molecule: ribosomal RNA, 122 nt
Filed under: Serratia nevei
Lineage: Bacteria; Pseudomonadati; Pseudomonadota; Gammaproteobacteria; Enterobacterales; Yersiniaceae
Description: partial 23S ribosomal RNA
Rfam family: Bacterial large subunit ribosomal RNA
Source: RNAcentral
GCGCAGCUAUUUAGUACGAGAGGACCGGAGUGAACGCACCACUGGUGUUCGGGUUGUCAUGCCAAUGGCAUUGCCCGGUAGCUAAGUGCGGAAAAGAUAAGCGCUGAAAGCAUCUAAGCGCG